Molecule: transfer RNA, 62 nt
Filed under: Tropostreptus microcephalus
Lineage: Eukaryota; Metazoa; Arthropoda; Diplopoda; Spirostreptida; Spirostreptidae
Description: tRNA-Phe
Source: RNAcentral
AUUUAAAUAGCUUAUUUAAAGCGGGGCUUUGAAGAAGCCUAGAAGAUUUGGGUCUUUAAAUA